This 425-nucleotide ribosomal RNA is filed under the name uncultured bacterium. Its description in RNAcentral is "bacterial SSU rRNA". It matches the Rfam family "Bacterial small subunit ribosomal RNA", at positions 354 to 796 of the family's 1533-position model. The record is from RNAcentral.
GUGGGGAAUCUUGCGCAAUGGGCGAAAGCCUGACGCAGCCAUGCCGCGUGAAUGAUGAAGGUCUUAGGAUUGUAAAAUUCUUUCACCGGGGACGAUAAUGACGGUACCCGGAGAAGAAGCUCCGGCUAACUUCGUGCCAGCAGCCGCGGUAAUACGAAGGGGGCUAGCGUUGCUCGGAAUUACUGGGCGUAAAGGGCGCGUAGGCGGACAGCUUAGUCAGAGGUGAAAGCCCAGGGCUCAACCUUGGAAUUGCCUUUGAUACUGGCUGUCUUGAGUUUGGGAGAGGUGAGUGGAACUCCGAGUGUAGAGGUGAAAUUCGUAGAUAUUCGGAAGAACACCAGUGGCGAAGGCGACUCACUGGCCCAAUACUGACGCUGAGGCGCGAAAGCGUUGGGAGCAAACAGGAUUAGAUACCCCGGUAGUCC